UACGUAGGGUGCAAGCGUUGCCCGGAUUUAUUGGGCGUAAAGGGCGCGCAGGCGGCCCGGCGCGUCCGCGGUGAAAGCUCCCGGCUCAACUGGGAGAGGUCCGCGGAAACGGUCGGGCUGGAGCAAGGUAGGGGGUCGUGGAAUUCCCGGUGUAGUGGUGGAAUGCGUAGAGAUCGGGAGGAACACCAGUGGCGAAGGCGGCGACCUGGACCUGUGCUGACGCUGAGGCGCGAAAGCGUGGGGAGCGAGCCGG
RNAcentral lists this ribosomal RNA (253 nucleotides) under uncultured bacterium. RNAcentral's name for it is "partial 16S ribosomal RNA". It matches the Rfam family "Bacterial small subunit ribosomal RNA", at positions 524 to 776 of the family's 1533-position model. The record is from RNAcentral.